Molecule: non-coding RNA, 54 nt
Organism: Danio rerio (zebrafish)
Lineage: Eukaryota; Metazoa; Chordata; Actinopteri; Cypriniformes; Danionidae
Source: Rfam
UGAACAUUUAAUUUUAAGUUGCUUUGGAUAAAAGCGUCUGCUAAAUGGCUAAAU